UGUUCCCAAGUCAGGCAUGAAUAUCCGCUGAAUUUAAGCAUAUCACUAAGCGAAGGAAAAGAAACUUACCAGGAUUCCCCUAGUAACGGCGAGCAAACUGGGAAGAGCCCAGCAUGAAAAUCGGCAGCUCCACCUGCCGAAUUGUAGUUUGUAGAAGCAUCCUCAAUGAUAGACCAGGCCCAAGUCCCCUGGAAGGGGGUGCCAGAGAGGGUGAGAGCCUCAUUGGGCUUGGUCCCUGCCAUACCAUGAUGCGCUUUCGGUGAGUCAGGUUGUUUGGGAAUGCAGCCCUAAUCGGGUGGUAAAUUCUGUGCAAGGCUAAAUACGGGUGAGAGACUGAUAGCGAACAAGUACUACGAGGGAAAGAUGAAAAGGACUUUGAAAAGAAAGUUAAAGAGUGCUUGAAAUUGCUAGGAGGGAAGCAUAUGGAGGUCAGUGAUGCACCCUGGUCAAAUGCAAAAUGGUGUCAGUCGGUCAAUCGCUCAACUUGGGGGCGUGCCAGCAUGGGCUAUUGUAGUAGCACAAGCGCAGCCUUCUGGUCACACUGUACCUCCAUGGUGGCAAUCUAGGAGCGAAGUGCGUGCCUACCAGGAUGGGCCCUCGAGCACCUACGCGCUGGCCAACAGUCUUUCCAUCUAACCUAUCUUGAAACACGAACCAAGGAGUCUAAUGUAUGUGUGAGUCGGUGGGUUGGGAAACCUGUGAGGCACAAGGAAGUUGACUGGUGAGAUCUCCUCUCGAGAGGUGCACCGUCGACUGACCCUGAUCUUUUGUGAGGGGUUUGAGUGUGAGCACACCUAUUGGGACCCAAAAAAUGGUGAAUUAUUCCUAAGCAGGGCGAAGCUAGAGGAAACUCUGGUGGAGGCCCACAACGAUACUGACAUGCAAAUCAUUCGUCUGACUUGGGUAUAGGUGCGAAAGACUAAUAGAAUCGUCUAGUAGCAGGUUACCUCCAAAGUUUCCCUCAAGAUAGCUAGAGCUCAUGUGCGAGUUUUAUCAGGUAAAUAAAAUGAUUAGAGGCAUCAGGGGCGUAACGCCCUAGACCCAUUCUCAAACUUUAAAUAGGUAAGGCGACGUGGUUGCUUCGUUGAUCCAUGCCACAUAAUCAUGAGCUCCAAGUGGGCCAUUCUUGGUAAGCAGAACUAGCGAUGCGGGAUGAACCGAAAGCCAAGUUACGGUGCCAAAUUGCGCGCUAACCCAGAUCCCACAAAGGGUGUUGGUUGAUUAAGACAGUAGGAUGGUGGUCAUGGAAGUCAAAAUUUGCUAAUGAGUGUGUAACAAAUCACCUGCUGAAUCAACUAGCCCCAAAAAUGGAUGGUGCUGAAGUGUGCAACCUAUACUCAACCAUCGGGGAAAGUGCUAAGCUCUGAUGACUAGGAUGACGCGAGGGUUGUUGUGAAACCUUGGGCGUGAGCCUGGGUGGACCGACCCUCAGUGUAGAUCUUGGUGGUAGUAGUAAAUAUUCAAAUGAGAACUUUGAAGACUGAAGUGGAGAAAGAUUCCAUGCGAACAACACUUGGACAUGGGUUAGUCGAUCCUAAGAGAUGGGGAAACCCUAUUUCAAGGGCGCACUUUGCACGAUCAUCAAAAGGGAAUCAGGCUAAUAUUCCUGAAUCAAGAUGUGGCAACAGACGACAAUGUUAGAAAUUCCAGAGAUGUCAGCGAGGGCCCUGGGAAGAGUUAUCAUUUAUUUUUAACAACCUUCCCACCCUGAAAUUGGUUCAACUGGAGAUAGGGUCCAUUGGCUGGAAGAGCACUGCACGUCUCGUGGUGUCUGGUGCGCCUUCAGCAACCCUUGAAAAUCUAGAGGACCGAGUAGCAUUCAUGCCUGGUCGUACUCAUAACUGCAUUAGGUCUCCAAGGUGAACAACAUCUGGUCAAUAGAACAAUUUAGGUAAGGGAAGUCGGCAAAAUGUAUCUGUGCCCCGAACCCAUGGGUUGUUGGCGGCCUUCUUGAGCUUCUACCAUGGUGAGGGUGGGCCAUCAUGUGUCAAUCAAGAAACGUAUGUAGGGCUCCCUUCGGGGGGCUUUUCCUAGGCAAUGAACAACUAACUUAGAACUGGUAUGGACAAGGGGAAUCCAUCUAUUUAAUUAAAACAAAGCAUUGCAAUGGUCCCUGCGGAUGCUGACACAAUGUGAUUUCUGCCCAGUUCUCUGAAUGUCAAAGUGAAGAAAUUCAACCAAGCAUGGGUAAAUGGUGAGAGUAACUAUGACUCACUUAAGGUAGCCAAAUGCAUCAUCAUCUAAGUAGUGACGCACAUGAAAUGAUUAAUGAGAUUCCCACUUUCCCUAUCUACUAUCUAACGAAACCACAACCAGGGGAAUAGGCUUGGCGAAAUUAGUAGGGAAUGAAGACCCUGUUGAGCUUGACUCUAGUCCAACUUUGUGAAAUGACUUGAGAGGUGUAGAAUAAGUGGGAUCCAUUUCAGUGCAAGUGAAAUACCACUACUUUUAACAUUAUUUUACUUAUUCCAUGAGGCAGAGAUGGGGCAAUUCCCCUAUUUUGGCCUUAAGGUGCGUCUAGGUGUGCCAAUCCAGGCAGAAGAUAUUAUCCGGUGGAGAAUUUGGCUGGGGCGACACAUCUGUUAAAAGAUAAUGCAAGUGUCCUAAGAUGAGCUCAACGAGAACAUAAAUCUUGUGUGGAACAAAAGGGUAAAAGAUCAUUUCAUUUUCAUUUUCAGUACAAAUACAAACUGUGAAAGUGUGGCCUAUCGAUCCUUUAGACUUUCAGAAUUUGAAGCUAUAGGUAUUAUAAAAGUUACCAUAGGGAUAACUGGCUUGUGCCAGCCAAGCGUUCAUAGUGACAUUGCUUUUUGAUCCUUCGAUGUCAGCUCUUCCUAUCAUUGUGAAGCGAAAUUCACCAAGUGUUGGAUUGUUCACCCAACAAUAGGGAACAUGAGCUGGGUUUAGACCAUCGUUAGACAGGUUAGUUUUACCCUACUGAUGAUCUGCACCAUGAUAGUAAUUCAACUUAGUACUAGAGGAACCGUCGAUUCACACAUUUGGUCAUCGCGCUUGGUUGAAAAUCCAAUGGCACGAAGCUACCAUGUGUUGGAUUAUGACUGAAAGCCUCUAAAUCAUUAUCCAUGCUAGAUGUGGUGCAUCUUUCUCUCCGGCAGCAUCGCGACUUGUAGUAGGGGUGCUCUUGCACCCCCAGGGGCUCGUGUCAUUGGCUACCUUUGAUCGACACAAUCGCCUGGUUGGAGUAACCUUGGAUAACAAUUUCAAGUUGUUGGCGAGAAGAACCUUUUGCAGAAGACUUAAAUAAGUGACAGGGUAUUGUAAGUGGUAGAGUGGCCUUGCUACCAUGAUCCACUGAGAUUUAGCCCUCUAUUUCCUUGAUUCAU
Ribosomal RNA from Cryptomeria japonica (Japanese cedar), 3344 nucleotides. The record is from RefSeq and is a predicted model, not a curated record. NCBI's taxonomy places the organism in Eukaryota, Viridiplantae, Streptophyta, Pinopsida, Cupressales, Cupressaceae.